This is a long non-coding RNA of Magnolia sinica, 1031 nucleotides long. RefSeq lists it as uncharacterized. The record is from RefSeq and is a predicted model, not a curated record. NCBI's taxonomy places the organism in Eukaryota, Viridiplantae, Streptophyta, Magnoliopsida, Magnoliales, Magnoliaceae. The transcript has 3 exons.
CUGGGUGGAGUUACAAAAAUGAUUUGGUGAUCUGUGUUGUUACUUCUAUCUUCAAAAUGGUGGUAGAUAUAGUUCUCAGUUGGUGGUAAGAAAGAGGGACUGUUAUGGAGCAUCAUCUAUUGAAUGCCUUUUUUGGUUCCUCUAAAGCAAUCAUGUGGCAUAGGAUGUGGGGUAUCACGUUGAUGGUACAGGAGGAGGGGGAAGAAGCUUGGAAAAGAAAUUGCCACUCCUUGACAGAAAAAAUGGAGCCCACCAUGUUUGUAGCUUGAAUGAAAUUUACUAAUUUGAUAUAAUGCAUCUGUAGCUUGAAUGGAAAAGGUAAAAGAGUUGUGCUUGUAGGCUAUUUAGACAUGCUUUUUCUUUUUCUAACUUGCUAUUAAUUAUCCUUUUUAUUUGAUGUCUAACAGCUCUUCUCAGCUGUAUAUAUUCCAAGGACCAUCUGAGUUGAUGCCACUUAAAGAAAAGUAAAUGUAGUUACAACAAUGGCUCAGAACAAAAGCCAAGGGCCGAAGACAAGCUCAAAGAAAAGAAAAGUAAAGAAACCAAAAGGCUACAAAGGACACCACCAGACUUGAAAAGGAUUCUAUCUUCUUGUGAUUCAAGAUUGCCUGAUCAAUGCGACUGUGCAACUUCAGAAGGAACUGUCUGCUCUGCAAUCUGAAUUGGAUCGGAUCCAAUUCUUACUGAAAAUUGCUAAUCCGACAAGAGAAGCUGCUCGGAGGAGGGAUUCAAAAGCCCAGACAUCAAAAUCUAACCAGCCAGAUAUUCCUGUUUCCAACGUCACAAAAAAGGCUUUUAGUGGAGCAAAAGAAAAGCUCUACGCUAGCAAAGCCUGCAAAUGGUUCCUCCCAUAAAGAUAAAAGUCUUACCUUAGAAACAAGUAAACCUCCGGAAGGUGAUAAAGAUGUUAGUGACGGCAUAGAAAGCAAAGUGGCCACAUACACGGUCACAAAGCCUAUAUGGCUUGGUGCUACAGAGGACAUGUAAGUGAAAGAGAAGCAACAUGUACAUGAUGAAGCGCCACAAAAAAU